This 271-nucleotide ribosomal RNA is filed under the name uncultured bacterium. RNAcentral's name for it is "partial 16S ribosomal RNA". It matches the Rfam family "Bacterial small subunit ribosomal RNA", at positions 524 to 794 of the family's 1533-position model. The record is from RNAcentral.
UACGUAGGGUGCGAGCGUUAAUCGGAAUUACUGGGCGUAAAGCGUGCGCAGGCGGUUUUGUAAGACAGAUGUGAAAUCCCCGGGCUCAACCUGGGAACUGCGUUUGUGACUGCAAGACUAGAGUGUGUCAGAGGGGGGUGGAGUUCCGCGUGUAGCAGUGAAAUGCGUAGAGAUGCGGAGGGACACCGAUGGCGAAGGCAGCCCCCUGGGAUAACACUGACGCUCAUGCACGAAAGCGUGGGGAGCAAACAGGAUUAGAAACCCCAGUAGU